ACAGGUGCUGCAUGGCUGUCGUCAGCUCGUGUCGUGAGAUGUUGGGUUAAGUCCCGCAACGAGCGUAACCCUUGUCUUAGUUGCCAUUAUUAAGUUAGGCACUCUAAAGAGACUGCCUCGGUUAACGGGGAGGAAGGUGGGGAUGACGUCAAGUCCUCAUGGCCUUUAUAUCCAGGGCUACACACGUGCUACAAUGGACUGUACAAAGGGUUGCUAUCCCGCGAGGGGGCGCUAAUCCCAAAAAGCAGUUCUCAGUUCGGAUUGAAGUCUGCAACUCGACUUCAUGAAGGUGGAAUCGCUAGUAAUCGUGGAUCAGCAUGCCACGGUGAAUACGUUCCCGGGCCUUGUACACACCGCCCGUCA
Molecule: ribosomal RNA, 363 nt
Filed under: uncultured delta proteobacterium
Lineage: Bacteria; Deltaproteobacteria
Description: bacterial SSU rRNA
Rfam family: Bacterial small subunit ribosomal RNA
Source: RNAcentral